This 340-nucleotide ribosomal RNA is filed under the name Schizorchis mongoliensis. RNAcentral describes it as "partial small subunit ribosomal RNA". Lineage: Eukaryota; Metazoa; Platyhelminthes; Cestoda; Cyclophyllidea; Anoplocephalidae. The record is from RNAcentral.
AUUUGUUUAACUAUGGCAAUAGAAAGUUAUUUUGGAUUAGCUGCAUAAAAUGGUUUUAUACUUAUGUGAGAGUUUAUUUUUGCUUAGUUUAUUAGCAGUUAGUUUUUUAUUAGAAUAAAUGUUUUUUAAGAAUACUUAAUAAUAAAGGGGAUAGGACACAGUGCCAGCACCCGCGGUUAAUCUGUUUUCUUUGCUUUCUGAUAGACUGAUUUUAUGUAUUUAAGAGUGGAAUUAGGUGAAAUUUUUCUAUCUAUAUAUUUAAUACUUAACUUAUAAUAAAUAAAUUUUAUGACAGGGAUUAGAUACCCCAUUAAUUUAUUAUUGUAAUUUGUCUUAGUUU